CGAUUUGUGGUGGGAUUUCUCCUGAAAGCAAGUUGUGACUCAGAUCUAACUGGGAGAGGUGACUCAGCUUACCCAUCUGAGCUGGAAUUCUGUUGCUAAGUUUGUUAUUGCUCAGGUUCAAGUAAUGUAAGUUCAAGCAGGCACCCAAGUUCUCUGUUAUUGACCCAUUCAAUCUGUUUGCUGAUAGAUCGAGAUGGGCAAGACUGAACAGAGAUCCAAGUUCGGGAGGUAUACUUCCAGAAAGUUGGUUAUCAUUUAAUUUUAGCUCCAACAGAGAAGUUAAACUUCCCAUUUUCUUUGGGAUUUCCCCAACCAAAUGAUUUGAAGAAAGAUCAAGCAAAGUUAGAUUAGUUGAGAUUCCAAAAUCUUCUGGUAUGCUCCCUGUAAUAUCGUUACCGGCCAUCUCCAGCCUUUGUAGUUGUGGGCACCUUCCCCAGUUAUGAGAGAGUUCGCCAUGAAACCUGUUGUAGCUCAAAUCGAUGUAUUCCAGGUUUGGACAGUCACCAACUACCUCAGAUAUAUUUCCAGUGAGUUGAUUUCCCCCGAACAGAGCUCUGGUUAAGUUUCUGCAAUUUUUCAUGCUUUUAGGGAUGGGACCACUGAGAAGGUUGUCGCUCACUGUAAAGCGUACCAGAGAUCCACCUUGGCAAAUUCCUUCUGGUAAAGAGCCAGACAGCCGAUUUGUGUCGAUUUCUAGCACAACCAACUUAUGAAGUUUCCCAAUUUCUUUAGGAAAGUAACCAGAAAGAUGGUUAUCACGGAGGAAUAAAAUUUCUAAGUUGGUCAGAUUACCCAGUGAAGUAGGAAUGGAACCAUUGAGUUGGUUUUCUGAAAGUUCUAGAUCAACAAGAGACUUCAAGUUACCUAUUUCUGGAGGAAUGGGACCGGAAAGUUGAUUGGCAUAGAGAUGCAGGAGGGUUAGGCCACUGAGAUCACCCAAGGACGCAGGGAUUGGACCAGAAAGAUUGUUUGCGUAGAGGCUUAUACCUUGCAGAGAUGUCAAAUUUCCUAUUUCUGGUGGGAUAUGCCCGGAGAGUUGAUUGUUGAAUAGGUACAACGUGGUUAAACGUUUCAAGUUUCCGAAAGUGGAAGGGAUGAGACCUGUGAGAUUGUUGGUAUCCGAGUAUAUCUCAACAAGGUUGGCGAGAUUUCCCAUUUCUGGAGGAAUGGAACCGGAAAGUUGAUUUUCAUAGAGAUACAAAGAGGCCAAGUUGCUCAAAUUACCCAAAGAAGCAGGAAUAGAACCCUCCAGUUGGUUGGUGUACAAAGCAAGCUCAUAAAGAGAUGACAACUGACCGAUUUCAUGAGGAAUUGAACCAUUGAGCUGAUUUUGAACCAGGUGCAGGACCUCAAGGUUAGUUAAUAGGCCAAUUUCCGGUGGAAUCCCUCCUGAGAACUGGUUGGUGGACAGAUCAAGGUAUUUGAGCUUGGAGAGGAGACCGAUUUGGGGUGGGAUAGGACCAGAGAGGUUGUUGAUGCAGACAUCAACGUAUGCAAGAUUGGGAAAAGAUGAAAAUGAGAAGGCUUGGAGCGUACCUCUUAAACCGGACUCUGUGAGGUUUAUUCUGAUGACACUCCCUGCAUGGUUGCAGGAUAUCCCAUACCAUUUGCAUGGACCGGUUGCCGUUCCAUGGUGGGUAGAAGAAUUGGUGGAGUUGUUAGGAUCCGGAUAAAGAGUCCACGAAAGGAGGAAAGAAUGGUUAUGGUUGUGAAGGGUAGAUUUCCAUUUGAGGAGAGCUUGUGUUUCUUCAUUAGAAUAAGAAGAAACAUGAUCUGAACAAAUUAACAUAACCAAGAGGAGUAGGGAAACAAGGGAGAGCAUUUUCUGUAAGGUUGAGAACGCCAUGUAUAGUUUUAGUUGAUAAAUUGCAUAUGCUGCUUCACAUCUUCUUUUAUACACAUUUGGUUCCUUUGGUCCUUUUAGGUGACUGUCUUGUUCACGCGUAUUCCCACAGGGAAGAAAGUUGCGUUUUAAUGUCAAGAUCAAGGUCCUUUGAAGCAUGGCUCCUUUUUCUUUCUUUUUUCCAUGGAUUGCACUGUACUAGUAUGGUGGUCUUCCUGUGUGAUUAUGGUGGUUGAAAUCUUCUCUUUUUGCAAAUUUGGAAAUUAAGUUUAGCAGGUGUUGUUGAACAAUAUUUUUAAUUGUUUUUAGUUGAUUUCACUUAUUUUUAAGGGUUGUUUUAAAAAAAAAAAAAUUAUAUAAAUAGGAAGAAUGAUUAAAAAUAAAAUAAUAGAUAUAAAAAUUAUUUUUAAAACAUAUUUAAGAACAUUAAAAAUAAGUUAAAAAUACCAAUUUCUUAAACAAAAUUUUAUUUUACAAAAUAUCAGAGAACAAUUUUAAUUUUUUUUUUCAAAAAUUGUUAUUCAUAAUUGUUUGUAAAAAUAUUCUAUUAAAUAGAGCCUAAUUCUUUUUGGGUCUUUACUUUCAUGUUUAUAAUCAUAAUGGUUUGCCCUUUAUUAACAAACUUGAAGGUUUGUUUUAGUUAAAUAAUUGCAAAAGAAAAUUUUAGUAUGUCAUAUUUAAUCACUUAAGUGGAUUUAUUAAAACUUAGGUGAUGUUUUUAAUAGUAUUUAAUAAUGUUAAGUAUUAAGUUGUUUAUUUUUUUUUAAUAUUUUAUUUCAAUUAAGUAUUAAAAAAUAUAGAAAAAUUAAUAUGUUGCUUUUGAUAUUAAGAAAAAGUCAAAUAUUUUGAUUUUUUUCUAUUUAAUGAAAAAAUUUAAGAAAUAAGUAAUAAGUUAACAAAAAGUGAAAAAAUAAAUAAUUUGAAAUCUAAAAGCAAAUUACUUUAAAAAAAAAAGUUAAAAAAAAUGUCAUCUUAAUAAUUAAUAUUUAGAAAAUUUUAAAGAAAGUGAAAAAGAAAAAAAUGAAGUGAAAAAAAUGGAUUUUAAGUUAAUAAUUUAUUUUUAUAUGGUUUUUAAAACUUAUUUUAAUUAUUUUCUUUUAUAUAUAAAAAUUAAAUUAUUUAAAAACAUUUAAAAAUUUAUAAAUAAUUUUAAUUAUAUUUACUAACUUUUUUUUAUGUAUUUUAAUCAAACAUUAGAAAAUACUUUUUUUAAAUAUCUUUUCGUCUCUCCUUUCUUAGAACUAAAGAUAAGAAUGAUAAUUAAAUAUGAUUUAAAUUUAAAUUAUAUUUAACUUGUUGACUUAACAUUUAUUAUCUAAUUUUUAAUUUUUAAGUAUUAAGAUUAUUUGUUCAUAUUACUUAAUUUUUUAAAAAUUAUUAACCUCAUAUUAUCAAGUAACAAGAUUAUUUGAGAGGUACAAGGAAGAUAAAGGGACAUGGGCUGUUCAGGUAAAAAAAAAAAAAUGAAAUUUAGAAAAAGUUAAUUUUUUUGAGCUGUUAUUCUAAGUUUUUUUUUUUUUUUAGGUUUUAUAGGUUUGAUAGGACUUUAUGAUUGGACUCCAUAAUUUCCCUUUGGUCCUUUUCAUUUUUGAAUUUCACUGAGUUUAGCCCACUCUAUUUAACCCAAUUUUUAAGGCCCAUUGAGUUUAUAUUGAAACCCAGGUCUACUUGAUAAUAUGAGGUUAAUAAUUUUAUACACACUCACUUUGUAAGAUUGAAUCCCAGCCAUUGAUUUUAUAUUGAAACCCUAACCCAGAGGUACUUUUAGAGUCUUUAGUAUGAUAAGAAUAGGAUAUAUAUAAUAUCAUUUGGUAGGAUAUGAUAGAUACUUAUAUUUUAGAAUAUAUUUUUUGAGAAAUAUGAUAUUUUUGAAUAUUAUGUAUUUACUAUAUAUUAUAUUAUAUUUAUAUUAUUUAUAAAAUAAAUAAAUAAAUUAUUUUUUAAAUAAUAGAUACUUAUAUUUUAAAAUAUAUUUUUUGAGAAAUAUGAUAUUUUUAAAUAUUAUCUCUAAAUAGUGUAAAGUAUUAUAUAUAUAUAUAUAUAUAUAUAUAUAUAUAUAUAUAUAUAUAUAUUUAUAAAAUGAAUUAUUUAAUUAAUUAAAAAUUAAUUUUUAAUUAUUUAAUAUUUAUUUAAAAUAAAUAUCAUAUUGAUCCAAGUGAAGCUCAUCCCUUGAAUAGUAAUUCCAAAAGUGCUACAGUCAGCAAGAAAUUGCAUGAUAUGCUCUUGCUUUGCUUCUCCUGUAGCUUUAGCCUUUUCACAGAUCAUCUGUCUAAGGUUUUCAAGAAGGUCCAAAUUUUUCAGCUUGAAAAAUGAAAAUCUGGAAAUUUGACAUUCUUGGCUUUCUUGAGAAAGUUUUGAAUCUUCAUUUGGUUUUGAAAGUUCUUUUUGAAAUUCAUUUUGAAAAUCUUUUGAAAAUGCAUCUUUGGAUCCUUUUGCUUUUUUCCUGCAAAUGAAAUUUUCAAGAUCUGUAUCCAUUGGUGUGCAAUGUAUAUCAGAACUUGAAGGGUUAGAAAAACUUUCUAAUUUAUCAUUUAACUGUUUAAAAUGGAAAGAUAAUGCAUUUAAAGCUUCCAACUUUUGAAUAUCACUUUUUGCAUUCCAGAGGUUGUCUAAAAUGCAUUUUUGUGAUCUGUCUAAACCUUCAAUAUCUUUAUGAAUUCGAAAUGACAUAUUACAUUUAGGGAAUACUGGAAGAGUAAAUUUCCCAAAUGUAAUUCUUUCUUGCUCCAUCUGUAAACAAAAUUCAAAUAUUAGUAUCUCUAUUGAAGAAUAAAACAAAUAUCUAAUGAUUUUGUCUUUAUCAUACCAAAUUUGAAAAUAUAUUGAGUUUAUGAGAGGAACAUAAUUUCUAAUAAUGAUGUUAAAAUGAGGUUUUGAAUAUUUUGAAAUCACAUUUAUUGACUUAUAUGAGCAUGCACAAAUACCAUCACAAUCUUUUUGAUUAUCUGAUUCUUCUUCUAGACUUGACUCGUCACUUGAUAUUUCUUGAGUUAUAAGGAUUUGAUUAUCUUCUUCUGAUUCAUAAUUUUCACUUGAUUCAUCAUUUUCUUUAUCAAUCAUUAAUCCUAUCAUUAGAUUUUUGAGUUUAUCACUUAUUUCUAAUGAAUUGAUUUUAUUUUCUAAUUGACAAUCUCUUGAAUAAUGACCUACUUUUCCACAUUUAUAACAAGUAGGUGUUUUCUUUUUUAAAUCUGAGGAUUGUUUUUAUCAGUGUUAUGAGUGAUUUCAACUGAAUCGGUGUCUACCAGGAUGAACUCAUAGAAUUGACGAGUUUUCAAAGGAUCAUUUGAAUUAAAGUUGACUCCUUGAGGAAAGAUGUAAGGAAGAAUUUUAGGAAUCUCUUCAAAAUUGAACUCUGGCUCAAUGAAAGCAAUUUCUAAUGUUUUGGGUUUUUUGACAUAUUGACUAUAGGAAUAUGAAGGAGAAGGAAACUGAGAAGGAGAAGGUAAUGUUGAAAUAGUGUUGGGGCUUGAUUUACUCUGAACAACAAUAUUUUUAGGGGAUGAUUUAGAAGCUUGAAUAAAACUUUUUGAAGGUUGAAGAGGAGGAAAAUCUGGACUCAAAACUUGAAAAGAAUUUGAUGUCUGCAAAGGAAAAGUAGGACGAACAUUUGAAAAGUUUGAAAUCAUAGCAUAUGAUGCUUUGGUUUUCUUGGAUGAUGAAGGAAGUUGAGGCCUAACGGGAGUACCCAUUAGGAUGGAGAAGGAUCCUUACCCUGCAAAAACUCCCGAGUAAGGAAGUCAGGAAGGGAAUUCAACUCUCCUUUGAUAAAUUCGAUUUCAAAAUCAAAGUUUGAAAGUAAAGCUUGCCAUCUUGCAAAAAUUUGUUUUGAAACCAAAUUUUUAACAUCUUUUUGUAAAAUAUCUUUUGCAGCUUUGCAAUCGAUUUUCAAAAGAAAUUUCUUGUUUAUCAAAUCACUUUGAAAUUUUGAAAUACACAAAACUAUUGAUAAAACUUCUUUUUUGACAGUUGAAUAAUUUAUUUGAGCGCCCAACCAGAUCCCUGAAUGAUAUCUAACUAUAUGCACUUGAUUGUUAUAUUCUUGCUUUAAUAUGCCUCCAUAACCUAAAUUAGAUGCAUCUGAUUCUACAAUGAGUAAUGCAUUUGGAUGAGGAAUGCUGAUGCAUGGUAAUCUUUUGACUCUUUGUUUAAUUUCUUUAACCAGACUGGUAUGAUGCUCAUUCCAUGCAGGUGCAUUUUUUGUAAGUCUUUUGUAUAAUGGUUCACAAAUGAUUCUCAAAUCUUUGAAGUAAUCAGAAACAUAAUUUAAACAUCCUAGAAAUCUUUGCAAUUGUUUUUUAUCUUUUAUUUCAUCAGGAAAUUUGUCAGCGAAUUCUAUUGAUCUUUGAAUCGGUUUUGUUUUUCCUUGAAAAAUUUCAUGACCUAAAAAUCUGAUUUUUGUUUGAAACAAUUUCAUUUUUGGAGCAGAACAAGCCAUUCCAUUUGCUUUAAUGACAUUAAAAAACUUUUUCAAAUGAAUAAAAUGUUUUUCUAAUGAAUCAGAAAAUACUAAAACAUCGUCAAUAUAUACAAUGAUGAACUGAAAAUGAGGAUUAAAAAUAUCAUUCAUAAUAUUUUGAAAUUCAGAAGGGGCAUUUUUGAGACCAAAAGGCAUGACAUUCCAUUCAUAAUGACCAAAAGGGACAGUAAAAGCAGUUUUGUACCUAUCUUCUUCUUUAAUUUGAACUUGCCAAAAUCCUGAUUUCAUAUCAAAUUUUGAAUAAAUGACAGAACUAUGAAGUCUUUUAAGUAAAUCUUGCUUAUUAGGAAUAGGGUAUCUUAUCCAUUGUAAUACUUUAAUUAAAGGUUUAUAAUUAAUGACUAAUCUAGGUGCUCCUCUUUCUAUCUCAGCAGCAUUUUGAACAUAAAAAGCAGCACAACUCCAAGGAGAUUUUGAGGGUCUAAUUAAUUUCUUCUUUAAUAAUGAAUCAAUUUCUUGUUUGCAAUAUUUCAAAAGUUUUUCAUUCAUUUGAAUCGGCCUAGCCUUAGUAGGAAUUUUGGACUCAUCAAAAUUUUGAAUGUAAGGCAAACUUAUCUCAUGUUUCUUUCUUGACCAAAAAGCAUUAGGAAGAUCAGAACAAAUUUCAUUUUGAAAAAGAUCUUGAAUCUCUUUAAUUUUCUUUUGAACUUUAUCUUCUAAGAGUUGUUCAUCUACCUUUUUAUAUUGAAUUUCUUUUGAUAGAUAAUUUAUAUGAGCUUUCUUUCUUUGAAUUAAAUUUAUGUUCUUAUUUAUUGAAUCACUUUGAACUUGAUGUAUUUCUUUUUUAGUUAAUGGAUAUAUAAAGGGAAAAAAUAUGGUAUUUCCUAAUAUUGUAGUUUUGACACCUUCAUCAUUUACUUGAAAAGGGUAAAGUAAGGUAAUAAAAGGAGUUCCUAAUAUUAGAGGUUCAUUCAUAUUUUGUACUAAUAUAAAUUGAGUUCUAAAACAAUAAUUAUCUUGACAUAUAUGAACAUUUUGAAGUUUAUAUUUUAUUUCUAAUUUUCCUUUAUUUGCAGCAAAAAGUUCUUGUCCUGUUUUUUCAUAAUAUUUAGUAGGAAUUAUUCCUUCUUGAAUACAAUUCAUAUCAGCUCCCGAGUCUAUUAAUGCUACUAUUUCUAUUUCAAAAUCUUCAACUAUAAUUUUUAUAUUUGUAUACCAUCUUUGAAAAUAUAUUUUUGAUAUUGUAUUUAUAAAUGAUUCUAUAGGAGUUAUUUUAUUAGGUAUUAUUAUUCCUGGUUCUUGNNNNNNNNNNNNNNNNNNNNNNNNNNNNNNNNNNNNNNNNNNNNNNNNNNNUAUUUGAAAAACCAAAGGAAAAAAGGAAUAGUCAUCUUAACUUGUUGCAUAUAUUUUUCAUAUUGUUUUCUUAAUGCAUUUCUAACUUGAGGAGGAAGUUGUUGAAAAUAAUUUCUUUUUGCCGUAUUUUCAGGAGAAAAAUAAUUUGCUUUAAUUAAUUCUACUUCAGGAACAAAAUGAUUUCUUUUAAUGUAUUUUUUCUAAUGAUAUUUAUGUUUAAAGGAGGUUUAUCUUGAAAGAAAAUUUUUGACUCAGACUCUUCUUCAAAAAGAGAAAUUUCAGGAACAAAGUUUGAACUAUUUUUUAGUUGAUUUUCUAUUUGAUUUAAUUCUUCAUUAAAUUUUGAAUUAUUAAAUUUUAUAUGAUGACUCCAUGAUGAUGCAGCUACUGAUGCAGAUGAUGAUGCAGUAGAUGCAUUGAAAAUCUCAUUAUCUUAUAUGAAGAACUUUCUAAAUUAUAUGCAGAAUUAUUUAAUGCAGAUGCAGAACUUUCAUGGGACCUAAGAGAUCUGGAAGAACUAUUUCUACUUAAUUCCCUAAUAAUAUUACUCAUUGUCACAGAAAAUAAUCACAAUUUUAUCCUUAAUCAAUUCAGAUAAUUUCCUGAACAGGGACCACCACAAGCGGAUCAACACGGGACUUACGCUCCUUCUGCCCUUAAACACCGCUUAUCACAGGCUGACCAAACCGUUCACAGGAAAUUCAACCCGAACUAAGUCAGGACUAAAUCUGCGAUUAAUCACUGUUCCAACUCGUAACAUCACUCGGUUCUCAAGCAGAAAAUGGCUCUGAUACCAUUUGCACCCAGGACAUACAACAGUUCGUGCAUGCAAUAAUUAAGUAAUAAUUAAGCAAUAAUUAGCAAUAAUUAAAUCUGUCUAAUUAUCUCCAAGCAUAAAAACUGAAAUAUUUAAUGUCUAAUACUGUCUAAUUUAUUGCAGAAAUUUAAGCAUAAUAAAACAAAUAUUUGAAUCUGAAAAUAUUGUUUAUUGAAAAUAUACCUUGAUUACAGAGAGCUGAUGACUACAGGUUGUUGACAGCAGAGGAAUGACUCUAAUUCAAAAAGAAAAUUACAAAAGAAAAUUUUUGAACUCUCAGAAAUUUUUUGAAACUAUCUCUUGGCUGUUGGAACUCUCCCAACUCUUGGAACUCUUGAACCCUUGCCGACCUCUCACCCUAGCCGACCUCUGCCUGAUGAAGAAGGUUGAAGCUCCUUAUAUAGGUGAGGAUUCGGACUUUAGAUGAAUCUUCAAUCUUGAAAGUUUUGGAAUUUCAUCACAUGUAGGCCAGGUGGAGCAUUCUGCAGAAGAAAGAGUGAGGGAAGAUUUCAAAAUAUUCAAAACCUCAUUUUAACAUCAUUAUUAGAAAUUAUGUUCCUCUCAUAAACUCAAUAUAUUUUCAAAUUUGGUAUGAUAAAGACAAAAUCAUUAGAUAUUUGUUUUAUUCUUCAAUAGAGAUACUAAUAUUUGAAUUUUGUUUACAGAUGGAGCAAGAAAGAAUUACAUUUGGGAAAUUUACUCUUCCAGUAUUCCCUAAAUGUAAUAUGUCAUUUCGAAUUCAUAAAGAUAUUGAAGGUUUAGACAGAUCACAAAAAUGCAUUUUAGACAACCUCUGGAAUGCAAAAAGUGAUAUUCAAAAGUUGGAAGCUUUAAAUGCAUUAUCUUUCCAUUUUAAACAGUUAAAUGAUAAAUUAGAAAGUUUUUCUAACCCUUCAAGUUCUGAUAUACAUUGCACACCAAUGGAUACAGAUCUUGAAAAUUUCAUUUGCAGGAAAAAAGCAAAAGGAUCCAAAGAUGCAUUUUCAAAAGAUUUUCAAAAUGAAUUUCAAAAAGAACUUUCAAAACCAAAUGAAGAUUCAAAACUUUCUCAAGAAAGCCAAGAAUGUCAAAUUUCCAGAUUUUCAUUUUUCAAGCUGAAAAAUUUGGACCUUCUUGAAAACCUUAGACAGAUGAUCUGUGAAAAGGCUAAAGCUACAGGAGAAGCAAAGCAAGAGCAUAUCAUGCAAUUUCUUGCUGACUGUAGCACUUUUGGAAUUUCUAUUCAAGGGAUGAGCUUCACUUGGAUUUCUUGUUAUGACAAUACUUAUAAUAAUUGUCCAAAGACCGAUCCCUUGUGUAGAGAAAUUCCAUUAGAAAGGCAUGACUGUAAGUGUGCUCUUACUUACAGUAUAUGCAAAGCCAACAUUAACCUAGACAGUUAUAAACCAAUAGUCAGUCAAUAGAGUUAACUCCAUCCCUCCUCAUGGACUAUGGAGUUCUUUAUCAAUUGAUUUUCUCUCAUCCUGAUCAAACUGAUAAAUUUGGAAGAAAAUUAGUUGUUUGUGUUUUAAAUGCAUUCAUCAAUGAUUUCAAAUCUGUCGAACUCAUCAUAGAAAGUAAACCUCCUGAAUGGUCGAAUGAUGGAGGAGUCUACCCUGCUCAACAUCUCAUUUUACUCAAAGCCAAUCAGAGAAAACAUCAGCUGUUUGGUACAGAGGACCCUUGGCCCUGUACUAAAUCCAGUCUCAAAAAACAAAUCAGACAUUGGAGAUCAAGAAUGAUUGCAAGAGACCUUGAUUCCGAGAUUUAUAGUUCUUCUAACUAUAAUCUCAUUGCUGAAGAUAAUAUUCAAAAAAUCAUCUUUGCAAAUAACUUUUAUGAAGUCCCUCUUUUGUUUCAAACUCAAUUUACUUAUCUUGUUGAUAAGUAUAAAAGAGAAUAUGUCCUUGAAGAAGAAGCCAGAAAAACUUUUGAGAAAUAUCUCUUAGAAAUGCUCAGCUAAGAGAUAUCAAGAAUCAAGAAUCUUUUGUACAUCUGUAAAGUAGCUCUCUUAUGAUUAUCCAGUAAAAAAAAAAAAAAAAAAAAAAAAAAAAAGAACAGUAUAUGAAGUCUGAAGAAGUGCACAGUGCACAGUUUGUAAGUAAAAAAAAAAAGUGAAUAGUGUUUUGUGAAUAGUAAAUCCGUCCUUUAAAGUAAAAAGCAAGAUGACUCAUUACCCAUGUGACCAAAUGAAGAAGAAGAAAGCAAAUUUACCUCCUGCAUACACGUGGAAGACAUCAAAGGCAUAAUGCCUUCUUGAAAGCCCGAAGCCUUUGCUAUAAAUAGGGCUCAAAGGCUUCCUCCCAAGGCAGAGGUCGGCAAGGGUUCAAGAGCUUGGUAGAGAGUUCCAAGAGAGAUAGUUUCAAGAGUGAAAAAAUUUGAGAGUUCAAAAUUUCUGAGAGUUCAAAAAUAUUUUCUUGUAAUUUUCUUUUUGAGUUAGAGUCAUUCCUCUGCUGUCAACAACCUGUAGUCAUCAACUCUCUGUAUUGAGGUAUAUUUUCAAUAAACAAUAUUUUAUUCAAAUAUUUGUGUUAUUAUGCUUAAAUUUCUGCAAUAAAUUAGACAGUAUUAGACAUUAAAUAUUUCUGUUUUUAUGCUUGGAGAUAAUUAGACAGAUUUAAUUAUUGCUAAUUAUUGCUUAAUUAUUACUUAAUUAUUGCGUGCAUGAACUGUUGUAUGUCCUGGGUGCAAAUGGUAUCAGAGCCAUUUUCUGUUUGAGAACCGAGUGGUGUUACGAGUUGGAACAGUGAUUAAUCGCACAUUUAGUCCUGACUUAGUUCGGGUUGAAUUUCCUAUGAACGGUUUGGUCAGCCUGUGAUAAGCGGUGUUUAAGGGCAGAAGGAGCGUAAGUCCCGUGUUGAUCCGCUUGUGGUGGUCCCUGUUCAGGAAAUUAUCUGAAUUGAUUAAGGAUAAAAUUGUGAUUAUUUUCUGUGACAAUGAGUAAUAUUAUUAGGGAAUUAAGUAGAAAUAGUUCUUCCAGAUCUCUUAGGUCCCAUGAAAGUUCUGCAUCUGCAUUAAAUAAUUCUGCAUAUAAUUUAAAAAGUUCUUCAUAUAAGAUAAUGAGAUUUUCAAUGCAUCUACUGCAUCAUCAUCUGCAUCAGUAGCUGCAUCAUCAUGGAGUCAUCAUAUAAAAUUUAAUAAUUCAAAAUUUAAUGAAGAAUUAAAUCAAAUAGAAAAUCAACUAAAAAAUAGUUCAAACUUUGUUCCUGAAAUUUCUCUUUUUGAAGAAGAGUCUGAGUCAAAAAUUUUCUUUCAAGAUAAACCUCCUUUAAACAUAAAUAUCAUUAGAAAAAAAUACAUUAAAAGAAAUCAUUUUGUUCCUGAAGUAGAAUUAAUUAAAGCAAAUUAUUUUUCUCCUGAAAAUACGGCAAAAAGAAAUUAUUUUCAACAACUUCCUCCUCAAGUUAGAAAUGCAUUAAGAAAACAAUAUGAAAAAUAUAUGCAACAAGUUAAGAUGACUAUUCCUUUUUUCCUUUGGUUUUUCAAAUAUAGGAAACCCCUUAAAAGAAUUGCAACAUUAACUUCAAGAAAAGCAAUAGAAAAUUCUCCACAUAAUAAAAAAGAGUCAAGUAAAGAAUCAAAAGAAGAAUUAAGUGAAACAAAAUUUAAUAAAAUUUUGUUUUCUUCUGCCCCGGGUGAGGUGGAGGAAACAGAAACAAAAACAAAAACAUCAACAGAAACAUCAAAACCAACAAAGAUAGAAAAUCCAAAAGAAAUCAAAAAGAUAAAUGUAAUAUCGUCAAAAGUAGAUAAGCAAAUAUUUUUUGAUGUUGUAGACAAAAUUCAAGAUAAAGAAAUACAAAGAAAUUAUUUACAAAAUUUAAAAAAUUUAAUUCUCACUGAAAAUCCAAAUAAAACUCAAGACAUCAAACCUAAUCAAUACUCAAUGGAUGAAAUUUAUAAUAGAUUCAAAAAGACUCAAAGGCCAAUAACUAUUAAAGACUUGGAAGAAGAAAUAAAAGAAAUAAAAAGUCAAAUAAAUCAAUUAAAAUUAGAUAAUGAACAAAUAAAAUUAGAAAAUGAAAUAAUAAAACAAGAAAAUGAUCAAAUAAAACAAGAGAAUGAACAAAUUAGAAACGUAAUACAAUAUAAACAAGAUUUAGCCGAAACUUCUGAAAACCAAGAACCAGGAAUAAUAAUACCUAAUAAAAUAACUCCUAUAGAAUCAUUUAUAAAUACAAUAUCAAAAAUAUAUUUUCAAAGAUGGUAUACAAAUAUAAAAAUUAUAGUUGAAGAUUUUGAAAUAGAAAUAGUAGCAUUAAUAGACUCAGGAGCUGAUAUGAAUUGUAUUCAAGAAGGAAUAAUUCCUACUAAAUAUUAUGAAAAAACAGGACAAGAACUUUUUGCUGCAAAUAAAGGAAAAUUAGAAAUAAAAUAUAAACUUCAAAAUGUUCAUAUAUGUCAAGAUAAUUAUUGUUUUAGAACUCAAUUUAUAUUAGUACAAAAUAUGAAUGAACCUCUAAUAUUAGGAACUCCUUUUAUUACCUUACUUUACCCUUUUCAAGUAAAUGAUGAAGGUGUCAAAACUACAAUAUUAGGAAAUACCAUAUUUUUUCCCUUUAUAUAUCCAUUAACUAAAAAAGAAAUACAUCAAGUUCAAAGUGAUUCAAUAAAUAAGAACAUAAAUUUAAUUCAAAGAAAGAAAGCUCAUAUAAAUUAUCUAUCAAAAGAAAUUCAAUAUAAAACUUGUUCUACAAUUUAUAAUUUAAUAGUAAAUUUUAAUUUUAUAAUUAAACUAUUUAAGAAUAAUAAAUAAAAAUAUUAUAUCAUACAAUUAAAUAUACUAAGCAAUUUGUAUUUUACUAUAUAUUUUAUACUUAUUUUUCAGUCAAAUAAAUAAUACUGAAAUUAUUGUUAAUGGCAUUAAAUACAAAUUUAAUGGGAAACAGGAUCUCAUGCUUGUUAGGUUAUCCAUGGGGAAUAAAACAGCCUAAGGUCGAUCCUAAAAAUCCUAAACUUAGAACUUAGUUUAGGGAGAAUUUUGUUUUGAGCCUAGUUGGGCCAAAAAAAUUGACUAAAGAUCCAUAUAUCAUGCACAUUUAAACCCAAGACACCAAAUAAAGUGUAAAAAUUAAGUUUAUGGAUAUUAUCCUUCAUUAAUCUUUAAAAUAGCUUUAACCCCUAUAUAGACACAUAGUGAGUGUAAAUUUCAAAUUUUUUUUUUUUUUUGUGUUGUUUUCCCUUUUCUAUUCCCAAUUAAAUAUUACUCAUUUCUAACUUUUUUAUUUUUCUUUUUUAAAGAUAUUGAAUCUUUUUACUCUUAUUAUAAGUAAGAAUAAAAAAAUUUCAUAUAAAAUUUAAUGGAUAAUCAAUGAAUGAAAUUUAAUUCUUUUUAUUAUUUUUAUAUAAAAAUAGUAUUAAACAAGGUUUUCAAUUUUUAUUUUUAAAAAUAGUUUUCAUUUUUUAAUUAAAUGUUUUUUCAAAAAGAAAAUAUAAAAAAUAUAAAUCAUAUUACCAUUUUUUUAGAAAGUAUUUUUAAAAAUAGUUUUUGAAAGUAAUUUUUCUUUAUUUAUAAUUUAAAAUAGAAAAUAAAGCUAAUUUUCAAUUAUUUAUAAAAAAAAAGUUUUAAAAAACAAUGAAAAAUCCAAAUGGUUAAAAUAGAAUUAUUAUGGUUGAAUGAAUAGUGGUGCAAUAAAAACCAAAAAAUCUUAUGUGAAAGGUCAAUGAGUAUUUUGAUCUUUUGAUAUCAUAUAUCAUUUCUAUCAAUUAUGUAAGUUAUAUGAACCAAAUCUUAAUUUUUGGACAUAGUUGGACCUAAAACACAAUUGUCCCCUUAGUUAAUGUGCAUAGACCUGUUAUUGUCUCAAGGUGGGUAGAAGAAUUGGUGACAUUAUUUGGAAGAAUGAUCAAUAAAGACGAAGAUGACUUUGUUUUCUUUGGUUGACUUUGAAACAUUGGAGUAGAAUUUGUGUCUUUCUUAGAAUGAGAGAUGACAUGGUUAAAAUAACAGUACAUAGUUAGCAAGAUCAAGGAAACAAAGUUUAAGUUGGUGACUCCAUGGUUUCAGUUGAUGUGUGGCAAAUAAUGGGUCAAUUGUCCAUUUGUAAACAUAUGAGUUCACCAAACCUUGGACUUGGAAACUCUCCAACUAUCUCAUUACUGGAAGGAAGACGACGACUAGAGUUCUCUAUAUGUAGCUUUGUUAAGUUUGAUUCAUUCUUAUGGUCAAAGUCUAUGUCGCUUUACCUCAUUGGAAAAAAAAGAAAAAAAAAACAAAUCCUUGAAGAAUUGUUUGUCUAGAAUGAUUUGAACGUUUGUUGAGUGGUCUUGUCAUUGGAAGAUUAUUAGGGAAUGAAAAUGACUACCGUUUUUAUUUUUAUUUUUUAUUUUCAUUUUUAUAUAUAGCCUUCUUGAGUUUGAUUCACUCUUAAGGUCAAGGUCUUUCAAUUGAUUGUGUCUUGUGUGAUUUGAAUGCAUGUUAACUCUAGUGGUUGGGUGACAACUCCGAUCGCCUAUUCUUUAUUUCAUUUGGAAAAAAAUUGCAUUCAACAGUUUGAAUGCCUGUUGAGUCAAGUGGUUGCCUAGCAACUUGUACAGUGUAUAUUAUUUUACAUUCUAUCAACUCUAGGUUUUUUAAGACAACCAUCCAUCCAUUCUAGGUUCAAACUUCAAAGAAGCCUUUACAGCUUUAAGACAAUCACCCGAGAAUAUGAAACCAAAUAGAUAAAUACCUUUCAUGAUUAUGGACCAAAGCUACAUUAGGGUUAGGGAUUGACUUUAUACCAUUUAUAACAAUCCGUUUCUAAUAGUGUGUAUAUUAUUCGUUCUGGACCCAAAAAGAUCCUUACGGUUUUGAAAUGCGUUCAUAUAAUUAAGAGGAACUCAUAUUUAUUCAACGUUGAAACUUUCUUUGUUCUCAUAUGUGAGAUAUCUCAAUUGUUACGAGACAGGGACAAACAUGGUUUUGAGGGUUAGUCUUGUAAUCAUCUUUAUGUUACAGAUCCUAUAUUCCUAUUUACAUUUAAUUUUUUGUAGACCUGAUCCAUGAGAACGGAGACUUGGAGAAGUCUUCCACUCCCUUUGAAAGGGCUAUUAUUAGGUAAAACAAUGGUAAGACUUUUUGUCUGUGAAGACUUGACUUGGGCUUGUUCCAGACUGGUGAAGGCACUUUCCCCUACUUCACUUUGGAAAAAAUGCACUUUUGGGUUUUGAGUUGACUGCAUUGACUUGAUACAAGUUUACAAUAAUGGCCGAGCUGAUCAAACUUACAAUUAUUAUGCAGUUUUGUUGUUGCCAAAACUUGUUACAUAUACUGGGGAUGAAGAUAACUUGUAAUCCUUUUGUUUUAUGAUAUCAGAAGUUUUUGUUUAGGCCCUUGAUAUCCAUCUUAGGCUUAAUUUUGGUGCUAUGUAUUCUUGAAAACGAAGCUGAUUGUGACUACCAUAUAUUUAGUGGAUGGCCUUGUUUUUGUUGCAUGUAUCAGUUUUGGUGAAAAUUUUGGACUCUCACUUGUAGAAUUAGAAAGGAAGCUUCGGGGAUUUGACAUUUCUUUUCUCUGGUUUGAUCAAUCCAUUUGAGCUCACCAAAUUUGACCCUUUUUAAUGGGUCACACCUCAGCUCUUCAUAAGUUUAUGGUAGGCCAAGAUUUGCCUUGGUUCCCUUUACUUUCGAGUAUAUAUGUAGCCUUUUUUUUUUUAGUAUGAAAAUCACAAUAGCUUCAUAAUAAAGCUAACUAGGGUAAAGUUUUUACCUUAAAAUAAAUAAAAAAUUGUUCUCAUUAGCAGUUUUUUGCAGGACAAGAAAAAUAUCGAAGAAAACAGGUGUUAUACGAGAAAACGGAAACUUGAACAUGAAUAAACCAUUAAUCUCAUUGUUUAACAAUGCUAUAUUUAGAACAUCAAAUCUUUGAUGUUCAAGCCUUCAAUCCUCUUAUCCUUGCACAUUGUCAGCCGGUACCCGAGGUGCAAUUUUCUAUUCACCCACAAAAAGUCUUUUUGAUAUUUUUACAACUUUAUCAAUUACUCGAACGAAAUUUAGUUAUGGAAAAGAACUGGGACUUUUGAAGAUGCAUUACAUUGUGUUGAAGAUGCAGGAGGUUCGAAACCAUGCAUUAUUGGUAGACUAGGUAGAGUUCCACUCAAAUUAUUUCUUACCUUGCUAAAUUCUCUGUGACAACAUCUGAGAAAUAAUCUCCAUGGUUGGCCUGGAUUGUGGAUUGGCAUUUAAACAUGCAGUUGCGAGCUUUAUGAUAGCUACCACUUCCCCUUCGUCUUGGGGUGUGAGAGGUGGGAGUCGCGGGUCCAACAUGUCUUUCAACACUAUGUUCUUCUCUGGGGAAACUGAUAUAGACAAGAUUUGAUCUCCAGGAUGUCUUCCUUUGAUAACUUCCAGUGCUAUCACUCCAAAGCUAUAGACAUCGGUUUUUUCUGUGACCUUCAUUGUAUAAGCAUGCUCUGCAAAAUUAGAAGAUAAAUAUUACAUCGUGAGCAUGUUAGAUUUCUUUGUUAGUUGAGGAGUGAAGUGUACCUGGUGCAACGUAUCCGACUGUGCCUGCAAGUUUGCUCUGAUUUGAUGAGUCUACCUUAAGAAGCUUGGCAGUGCCCAAGUUAGAAAUAUGAGCCUCAUAUUGAGAAUCCAGCAGAAUAUUGUUGCUCGAUAUAUCCCGAUGAACAAUCGGGGGUGAGCAAUCAUGGUGCAUGUAAGACAAAGCGUGAGCCACUCCUUUGAUGAUCUUGACCCUUGUAGCCCAACCCAAUUUUUUAGCUUCUUCUCUGCUCAAGAUUGUAGCCAAGCUACCUCUUUCAAGGUACUCAUAGACCAAAAAGGAGUGUCGUGGAUAUGAACAGAAACCAAGAAGUCUCACAAUGUUUCGAUGCUUGAUCUCUGUCAUUGCCCUUACUUUAUUCAAGAAAUCCUUUUGAUUUGCCAUAUCCAUGUCGGAUGGGUGAAGCUUCUUCACAGCUACUAUAUUACCUGAUGGCAGCUCUGCUUUGUAAACGCUUCCAUGCCCUCCCUUUCCGAUGCAAUACAUGGGAUCAAAGUCCUUGGUGGCCUUUAUAAUCUCUUCAUACAUUGCUCUUCCAUCAAAAGUUGAUAUUGAGAGGAGAUUAUUCUGUACAUCACCUUCUUCGAUUUCUGGAGUUCUCUCUCUUCUUUCAGCAAUCAAGAAAAUCCCAAUGAAAGCAGAAAGAAGUACAAGUGCUCCCAAAAGAGGGAAUAUGAUAAUAAACACAACUUUGUGGCUCUUUUUGACAGGUUGUUGGUCUACUCCAAAACCAUAUUUGCAAGGUUGCAACCCUUUAACAUUGCCGCACAAAUCUUUGUUCCCCUUUAGCACCUCAAUGGUAGCAUUUCGAAAUGCAUUGCUGUGAGGAAUGGGACCCUGCAACUGAUUGUAGGAAAUGUCAACAUACGACAAGGCAGGCAUGUCCUCAAAAGCCUUUGGGAUGAAACCACAAAGGUUGUUAUGGGAGAGAUCAAGCAUCUCCAAACUCUCCAAACCUUGGAUCUGUGCCGGGAUGCCACCUGUAAGCAAGUUGUGACUCAGAUCUAGCUGGGAGAGGUGACUCAGCUUACCCAUCUGAACCGGAAUUCCGUGGCUGAGUUUGUUAUUGCUCAGGUUCAAGUAAUGCAAGUCCAAGCAGUCGCCCAAGUGCUCUGGUAUUGACCCAUUCAAUCUAUUGGCUGAAAGGUCUAGAUACUCAAGGUGGGACAGCGAUCCAAGUUCAGGAGGAAUACUCCCGGAAAGUUGGUUGUCAUUCAAUAUCAGCCCCAACAGAGAAGUCAAACUUCCCAUUUUCUUUGGAAUUUCCCCAACCAAAUGAUUUGAAGAAAGAUCAAGCAAGAUUAGAUUAGUUGAGAUUCCAAAAUCUUCUGGUAUGCUCCCUGUAAUAUUGUUCCCGGCAAUCUCCAGCCUUUGUAGUUGUGGGCAUCUUCCCCAGUUAUGAGAGAGUUCACCAUGAAACCUGUUGUAGCUCAAAUCGAUGAAUUCCAGGUUUGGACAGUCACCAACUACCUCAGAUACAUUUCCAGUGAGUCGGUUUCCCUGGAACAGAGCUCUGGUUAAGUUUCUGCAAUUUUUCAAGCUUUUGGGGAUGGGACCACUGAGAUGGUUGUCACUCACUGUAAAGCGCUCCAGAGAUCCACCUUGGCAAAUGCCUUCCGGUAAAGAGCCAAACAGCUGGUUUGUGUCGAUUUCUAGCACAACCAACUUAUGAAGUUUCCCAAUUUCUUGAGGAAAGUAACCAGAAAGACGGUUAUCACGGAGGAAUAAAAUUUCUAAGUUGGUUAGAUUACCCAGUGAAGUAGGAAUGGAACCAUUGAGUUGAUUUUCUGAAAGUUCUAGAUCAACAAGAGACUUCAAGUUACCUAUUUCUUGAGGAAUGGGACCGGAAAGUUGAUUGGCAUAGAGAUGCAGGAGGGUUAGGCCACUCAGAUCACAUAAUGACACAGGGAUUGGGCCUGAAAGAUUGUUUCCGUAGAGGCUUAGACCUUGCAGGGAUUUCAAAUUUCCUAUUUCUGGUGGGAUAGGCCCAGAGAGGCUAUUGUUGAACAAGUACAACACGGUUAAAUGUUUCAAAUUUCCAAAAGUGGAAGGGAUGGGACCUGUGAGAUUGUUGGUAUCCGAGUAUAGCUGAACAAGGUUGGUGAGAUUUCCCAUUUCUGGAGGAAUGGAACCCGAAAGUUGAUUUUCAUAGAGAUACAAAGAGGCCAAGUUGCUCAAAUUACCCAAAGAAGCAGGAAUAGAACCCUCCAGUUGGUUGGUGUACAAAGCAAGCUCAUAAAGAGACGUCAACUGACCUAUUUCAUGAGGAAUUGAACCAUUCAACUGAUUUUGAACCAGGUGUAAGACCUCAAGAUUAGUUAAUAGGCCGAUCUCGGGCGGAAUCCCUCCUGAGAACUGGUUGAUAGAGAGAUCAAGGUAUUUGAGCUUGGAGAGGAGACCGAUUUGGGGUGGGAUAGGACCAGAGAGGUUGUUCAUGCUGAUAUCAACAUACGCAAGAUUGGGAAAAGAUGAGAAUGAGAAGGCUUGGAGCGUACCUCCUAAACCCGACUCUGUGAGGUUUAUUCUGAUGACGCUCCCUGCAUGGUUGCAGGAUAUUCCGUACCAUUUGCAUGGACUGACUUCUGUUCCAAGGUGGGUAGAAGAAUUGGUGAAGUUGUUAGGAUAAAGAGUCCACGAAAGGAGGGAAGAAUGGUUAUGGUUGUGAAGGGUAGCUUUCCAUUUGAGGAGAGCUUGUGUUUCUUCAUUAGAAUAAGAAGAAACAUGGUCUGAAGAAAUCAACAUAACCAAGAGGAGCAAGGAAACAAGGGAGAGCAUUUUCUGUAAGGUUGAGGGUGCCAUGGUUUUGGUUGAUGAAUUGCAUAUGCUGCUUCACAACUUCAUUUAUACACAUUUGGUUCCUUUGUUCGUCCCACUCGGAAACUUCCUUGUUCACACUUCACACCAAUUAAAAUUCAGCCCUUUAAUGUCAAGAUUGAGGUCUUUUAAAGCAUGGCUCCCUUUUUCUUUCUUUUUGCCUGGGGUUCCCUUUCUACUAGCAUGGUGGUCUUCCUAUAUCUUUGUGGUCGUCGAAGUCUUCUCCGGUCUCUUUCAAAAUGAAUAAUGACGAUGAAGGUUGGUUGGAGACUAACGCUCUCUUUGACAAUUAUUUUGGACAACAGAGCAGGUUUAGUAAUAAAAAAAUUAUUUUUUAUUUUUUAUUCUUAAACACAGAAAAUGAUAUGUUUUUUAGGGACUUUUUUUUUAAUUAUCAUCAAUUAUUUUGAUUUGUUUUUUAAAAAUUAUUUUAAAAAAUAACUAUAAAAAAUGGAGAAUAAUUAAAAAAAAUGGACAAAAAUUUUAUUUUUAAAAAUAUUUAAAAACAUUAAAUAUGUGAUAAAAAUAUUUAAGAUUUCUAAAUACAUUUUUAUUUUACCAUUCAUCAAAGAACUGCCGUUAAAAACUGUUAUAAAAAAAUAGUUGUUAAAGAUAACUUAAUUUUAUUUGAAUCUUUGUUUUUAUCUUUACGAUGAUCUUCUUCUUUUACUCUUUGUAAAAGAAAACCGAACUUGAAAAUUUGUUUCAGUUAAGUAAUUAUAAAAGAAAAUUUUAGUCUACUUAAUAACUAAGUUGAUUUAUUAAAACUUAAUAAUUAAUAUUUACCCUAGGCUUGGUUUUUAGAAAAUUUUAAAUGAAUUGAAUAUGAAAAAAAAAUGAAGUUUUAAAAAGAAAAAAACAAAAUUUAAGUUAAUAAAUUAUUUUUAUAUGUUUUUAAAUUUUAUUUGAAUGAUUUAUUUUUAUAUAAAGAAUAAAUAAUUUAAAAAUGCUUAAAUUUUUAAAUGAUUUUAAUUAUAUUUAAUUUAUUUAUUUUUAUGUAUUUUACAUUUUAAUAUUUAUUAUAAUAUGAAAUAUCAUAUGUUUAUUAUUAUUUGAAAUUGCUUUACAAUUUAUAAUUUAAUAGGAAAUUUUAAUUUAUUUAUUGAUAGUAUUCAUAAUUAAACUAUUUAAAACUUAUAAAUAAAAAAUAGUAUAUUAUAUAAUUAAAACAAUUUGUAUAGAUUAAAAUACUGUAGUAAUGAUAUAUAUUAGUAUUUUACUGUGUAUUUUAUACUUAUUUUUCAGUUAAUUUAAUUUUAAUUUUAAUUUUUAAUUUUUAAUUUUAAUUAAAACAAUUUAACUUUAAUUUUUUAAUUAUUAUUUUUUUAACUUUUAAGUAAUAUAAAAAAAAUUAAAGAAAAAUAAAAGGAAAUGGAUAAGAAAAGUAAAUCCGUGAUUCGGCCCAUUCCAGUCCACAGUUACCGCCGACGACACCGACGUCAGUCAACCGGCAACCGCGACGCCGCCUCAGCAGCGCAGUCACUGCCGCCAUCUCCGGAAACUCCACAGCACCACUCCUUUCCACCCAGAUGCCACGCGCCGUCGCUCACGGCAUCUCCGCCCGUGGCCUUGCCAUUCAAGGCGCCGCUCCGUCGCCGACUCCUUCCACACCCACCCCAUUCACUAACGCCAAGACCACCAUGGUCUCGGCCACUGCCUCUGGUAGCCAACAUGGCUGCCAUCUUCAUCCUCCAUCUCACCUCUCCGCCGUACCCCACUACCAAUCUCCUUCGGCCUCCAUGAUCCCCAUCUCCGCCGCUGAACCCAUCACCCUACCGGCGCCAACAUCUUUUCUUCUUUAUUUAUUUAUUUAUUUAUUCCAGUGCUGCUCAUAUAUUUUGAUAUGUAAAUAUUUAAUUUGUUAAUUAGAAAAUACAUGAGUAGCAGUCUUGGUAGAUGAAUGGAUGAAUUUUCUGCAUGAGUAGCAGAGAUUUAUCUACUUCUAUUCACACAAAACCACACUUUAUUUCUUUGGGCACAAAGCCACAAUUUCUAUGAGUACAAAUCACACCGGGUACUUGAUGUAGAAAGAAAGACUAAACAAACUCAAAAGGCAUUACAUAGUGCUGAAGAUGCAGGAGGUUCGAAACCAUGUGUUACGGUAGACUAGGUAGAGUUCCCCACAAACUAAAUCUUACCUUACUACUUUCUCUGUGAUAACAUCUGAGAAACAGUCUGCAUGGUUGGCCUGGAUUGCGGGUUGGCUUUUAAGCAUUCAAUUGCUUGCUUUAGGAUAGCUAUCACUUCCCCCUCAUCCUGGGGUGUGAGAGGUGGGAGUCGGGGGUCCAACAUGUCUUCCAACGCUAUGUUAUCCUUCUCUGGGGAAACUGAUAGAGACAAGAUCUGAUCUCCAGGAUGUCUUCCUUUGAUAACUUCCAGUGCUAUUACUCCAAAGCUAAAGACAUCAGUUUUUUCGGUCACCUUCAUUGUAUAAGCAAGCUCUGCAAAAUUAAAAGAUAAAUAUUAUAUCGUGGACAUGUUUCAUACCUUGUUUAAUUCAAGAGUGAACCGUACCUGGUGCAAGAUAUCCGAAUGUGCCUGCAAGUAUGCUCUGAUUCGAUGAGUCUAGCUUUAGAAGCUUGGCAGUGCCGAAGUCAGAAAUAUGAGCUUCAUACUGAGAAUCCAGCAGAAUAUUGUUGCUUGAUACAUCCCGAUGAACAAUAGGGGGUGAGCAAUCAUGGUGCAUGUAAGCCAAAGCAUGAGCCACUCCUUUAAUGAUAUUGACCCUUGUAGCCCAACCCAAUUUCUUAGCUUCUUCUCUGCUCAAGAUUGUAGCCAGGCUACCUCUUUCAAGGUACUCGUAGACCAAAAACUUGUGUCGUGGAUGUGAACAGAAACCAAGAAGUUUCACUAUGUUUCGAUGCUUGAUUUCUGUUAGUGCCCUUAUUUCAUUUAAGAAAUCCUUUUGAUUUGCCAUCUCUGUGUCGGAUGGGUGAAGCUUCUUCACAGCUACUAUAUUACUUGAUGGCAGCUCUGCUUUGUAAACACUUCCAUGGCCUCCCUUUCCUAUGCAAUACAUGGGAUCAAAAUCCUUGGUGGCCUUUAUAAUCUCUUCAUACAUUGUUCUUCCAUCAAAAUUUGAUAUUGAAAAGAGAUCAUUCUGUACGUCACCUUCUUCGAUUUCUGGAGUUCUCUCUCUUCUUUCAGCAAUCAAGAAAAUCCCAAUGAAAGCAAAAAGAAGUACAAGUGCUCCCAAAAGAGGGAAUAUGAUAAUAAACACAACUUUGUGGCUCUUUUUGACAGGUUGUUGGUCUACUCCAAAACCAUAUUUGCAAGGUUGCAACCCUUUAACAUUGCCGCACAAAUCUUUGUUCCCCUUUAGCACCUCAAUGGUAGCAUUUCGAAAUGCAUUGCUGUGAGGAAUGGGACCCUGCAACUGAUUGUAGGAUAUGUCAACAUACGACAAGGCAGGCAUGUCCUCAAAAGCCUUUGGGAUGAAACCACAAAGGUUGUUAUGGGAGAGAUCAAGCAUCUCCAAGCUUUGCAAACCUUGGAUCUGUGGCGGGAUGCCACCUGCAAGCAAGUUGUGACUCAGAUCUAGCUGGGAGAGGUGACUCAGCUUACCCAUCUGAACCGGAAUUCCGUGGCUGAGUUUGUUAUUGCUCAGGUUCAAGUAAUGCAAGUCCAAGCAGUCGCCCAAGUGCUCUGGUAUUGACCCAUUCAAUCUAUUGGCUGAAAGGUCUAGAUACUCAAGGUGGGACAGCGAUCCAAGUUCAGGAGGAAUACUCCCGGAAAGUUGGUUGUCAUUCAAUAUGAGCCCCAACAGAGAAGUUAAACUUCCCAUUUUCUUUGGAAUUUCCCCAACCAAAUGAUUUGAAGAAAGAUCAAGCAAGGUUAGAUUAGUUGAGAUUCCAAAAUCUUCUGGUAUGCUCCCUGUAAUAUUGUUCCCGGCAAUCUCCAGCCUUUGUAGUUGUGGGCAUCUUCCCCAGUUAUGAGAGAGUUCACCAUGAAACCUGUUGUAGCUCAAAUCGAUGAAUUCCAGGUUUGGACAGUCACCAACUACCUCAGAUAUAUUUCCAGUGAGUCGGUUUCCCUGGAACAGAGCUCUGGUUAAGUUUCUGCAAUUUUUCAAGCUUUUGGGGAUGGGACCACUGAGAUGGUUGUCACUCACUGCAAAGCGCACCAGAGAUCCAGCUUGGCAAAUGCCUUCCGGUAAAGAGCCAAACAGCUGGUUUGUGUCGAUUUCUAGCACAACCAACUUAUGAAGUUUCCCAAUUUCUUGAGGAAUGUAACCAGAAAGUUGAUUAUCACGGAGGAAUAAAAUUUCUAAAUUGGUUAGAUUACCCAGUGAAGUAGGAAUGGAACCAUUGAGUUGAUUUUCAGAAAGUUCUAGAUCAACAAGAGACUUCAAGUUUCCUAUUUCUUGAGGAAUGGGACCGGAAAGUUGAUUGGCAUAGAGAUGCAGGAGGGUUAGGCCACUCAGAUCACAUAAUGACACAGGGAUUGGACCAGAAAGAUUGUUUUCGUAGAGGCUUAGCUCUUGCAGGGAUUUCAAAUUUCCUAUUUCUGGUGGGAUAG
Molecule: long non-coding RNA, 24229 nt
Filed under: Vitis vinifera (wine grape)
Lineage: Eukaryota; Viridiplantae; Streptophyta; Magnoliopsida; Vitales; Vitaceae
Description: long non-coding RNA (VVIN_LNC005630)
Source: RNAcentral